Molecule: long non-coding RNA, 1320 nt
Filed under: Medicago truncatula (barrel medic)
Lineage: Eukaryota; Viridiplantae; Streptophyta; Magnoliopsida; Fabales; Fabaceae
Description: long non-coding RNA (MTRU_LNC005403)
Source: RNAcentral
CUAACUUUUUUAGCUAUGUGAUUGUCUGCUACUGCUGCCGCUAUGCUAUUCCUUUUGUUUGUCCUCAUGCUCUUAUCUUUUUUUGCAAUUACUUUGGCAUGAUCUUUUCAAAAUUUCCGACACCAACUUUGAGAAGGAAGAAGAAUUCUCUUCUUGUAGCAAUUGAGGGUCUUGCUUUCCUCGAUCAAUGACUUCCAAAGCUCAAAGUCUCUAAACAGAGUUAUGACAUGAAUUCGAUCACCCUAAACCCAUAAACAAAACAAAGAUGCGGAAGUAAAUCCAAAUGCUUAAAUUUAUUCUCAUAUUAUUACCGUACGAUGUAUUAAUGUUGUGCCCAUGUCAAUGCUUCAUAACUUAUAGCUUUUCAAUGUAUUUUUCCAAACAUCAUAUAUAACUUUUGUUUGUGAGUUUAAUAUUGUAGAAUUGUACAGCUCCGAACAUAAUCUCUCUUUUUUUUUUUUUUUUCUUCCUCCUUUUGUUAACCUAAUGUAAUCACAUAAUCAUAAAGAAGAAUAUCAUACAUAGUUUUUCACACAUUAAUUUAUUUAUCACUUGAAUUUGUGUUUCAUUAUGAAACAUUGCUGAUUCCUUGCUAGCUGUCUAGCUAAGGUAUCUCUUCAUGGUUCUGUAUAAUUUGGACCCAUAAAAAGAUAGGUCCAACUUGGACCAGUCAAACAGUGACCAUUGAUUUAUUAUAUAUUUAGUCCAAUGGAUCAGAUUUAAAGAUGUGUACCUAUUAAUCAAGUUGCAGUGUUACCAAGCCUAUGUAAGCUUGCCCACAGUUGAUUAUUCGUUUUUCAACCUCUGGAUUUAUGGAAUGCACAGCAAGCAACCCCUUCUUCUUUAUUCGUUUUUCAAUAAGGCUCUGUUUGAUAAAAAUAACGGAUAACUGAUAGCUUAUAGUGUAUAGCUGAUGUCUGGUAGCUUAUAACUGAUAGCUGAUGUCUGGUAGCUGAUACUACCUCCGUUCUUUUUUAAUUGUCACAUUUUGAUAUUUUACACAAACCAAGACAAUCAACAAUUGAUACUACUUUUGAUGCAAUAAGUUAUACUUUUACUAUAAUGACCUUAUUCAUUUAAUAUCUCAUUUCAUAUAUUUAUCUCCACAAUAAAUAACUAAGGACAAUAUUGGUAAAACAAGAUUUAAUGUUGCAUUGAACUUUGAAAGUGACAGUUAAAUAGGAACAAAAAAUUUCUCCAAAAGUGACACUUAAAAAAGAACGGAGGGAGUAGUUUAUAAGUGAUGACUGAUAGCUGAUAAACUAAUUAGAGUGUUUGGUAAAAUUAACGGUUCAACUAAAUGUAAAAUGAUAUAAAAAG